RNAcentral lists this ribosomal RNA (433 nucleotides) under uncultured bacterium. RNAcentral describes it as "partial 16S ribosomal RNA". It matches the Rfam family "Bacterial small subunit ribosomal RNA", at positions 29 to 507 of the family's 1533-position model. The record is from RNAcentral.
AACGAACGCUGGCGGCAUGCCUAACACAUGCAAGUCGAACGAGACCUUCGGGUCUAGUGGCGCACGGGUGCGUAACGCGUGGGAACCUGCCCUUAGGUUCGGAAUACCUCCCCGAAAGGGGUGCUAAUACCGGAUAAUGUCUUCGGACCAAAGAUUUAUCGCCUUUGGAUGGGCCCGCGUUGGAUUAGCUAGUUGGUAGUGUAAAAGCCUACCAAGGCGACGAUCCAUAGCUGGUCUGAGAGGAUGAUCAGCCACACUGGGACUGAGACACGGCCCAGAAUCCUACGGAAGGCAGCAGUGGGGAAUAUUGGACAAUGGGCGAAAGCCUGAUCCAGCAAUGCCGCGUGAGUGAUGAAGGCGUUAGGGUUGUAAAGCUCUUUUACCCGGGAUGAUAAUGACAGUACCGGGAGAAUAAGCUCCGGCUAACUCCGUG